Molecule: non-coding RNA, 29 nt
Filed under: Rattus norvegicus (Norway rat)
Lineage: Eukaryota; Metazoa; Chordata; Mammalia; Rodentia; Muridae
Source: RNAcentral
UGACAAUACCAUCUGCAGCUGAGCUCUCU